This 4154-nucleotide long non-coding RNA is filed under the name Olea europaea (common olive). RNAcentral describes it as "long non-coding RNA (OEUR_LNC000574)". The record is from RNAcentral. Lineage: Eukaryota; Viridiplantae; Streptophyta; Magnoliopsida; Lamiales; Oleaceae.
CAAAUAUUUACAACGCUUCUCUGAAUCUAUACAGCAAUUUACUGAAUAUUUCGUAGUAAGAUAAAAAUCCAGGGUUCACAUUAUGAGGUUUAUAUACAAAUAUAACAUUUGCAAAGCGUUGCUCCAAGACUCGACUCGAGAAAUAACGAUCAACUCUAUAGAUAAUAGGAAAAUAAAAUUAGUGUAUAGUGAGUAUUACACGAUAAUCACGACAUAUUAAUUUCUUCAACAUCUAACCAGUCUGGAGAGUCUUUAUCAGAAUUGUAAUUUUUUUUUCUGAAAUUAGCAGGCAUAUCUCCAUCAUCUUCUUCAAGAUCACUAAAUGACACGUCAUCCUCGUUCUCAACUGGGAUGUUGGUUCCACCGGCACCACCAGUUUCAGAACUUUCUUCUUUCAACCAGUCAUCACUAUCAUCCUCAUCCUUCAUUUCCAAAACAUUAGAGGGAUCAGAGUUCAACUUUUGAUCCUUGACUUGGUCAACCACCUCUUCUUCAAUCAUCGCUUUGUCAAUAAUUGGGAUUUCAGUGUUCUCGACUGCGUGCUUCACUAUUUCAGAAGCAGCUGUAGCAGUGGAAGUGCUUAAUUCAAGGGCAGAUGAUUUUUCAGGCUCAUUUUCAGAAGGAAUAGUAGAUGAUGCAUAAAGGGAGUCUUCAUGAGAAGAUGCGGUGGCAUCUUUUGGAUCGGAAGAUACUUUUCCAGGGAAGUCUUCUAGCGUUGUUGGUGUCUGGUUCUUUGACUCCUGUGCAAGCAAGGCUCUGGCUUUUAUUAUCUGCUUGUCAUGACAGUAAUGGAGGUCAACAACCUUGUCACUCAAGGAGAAAGAAAAAACCGCACAAGUUUUAGCAGCAAGUUCAUUGACAAGCCAUUUAUCCUUGUUUUGGGGGGGGGGGGGGGGGGGGGGGGAACANNNNNNNNNNNNNNNNNNNNNNNNNNNNNNNUGUUUUUUUUUUUUUCUUUUUUUUUUUUUUUUUGGUGGGGGGGGGGGGGUUGAGUUAAUACAAAAUUAAGCUAAAAUUGGUCCACUUAUGCACUAAAUAAUCGUGAAGUCAAGAAACUAUAGAAAUUAUUCAGAUAGAUGUAUUUUUUAAUUGAGGUUCAGAAAUGCACUAGAUUAUCAUAGACAAAGCAGAAGGAAUGACGAUAAAGUGAGCUCUGUGCUCUAUUCAUAUGUAUAAACUAUAGAAAUUAUUCAGAUAGAUGUAUUUUUUAAUUGAGGUUCAGAAAUGCACUAGAUUAUCAUAGACAAAGCAGAAGGAAUGACGAUAAAGUGAGCUCUGUGCUCUAUUCAUAUGUAUCUACUUUUCUAGCGAUACUAAAAUGACAAUGUAACAUACCAAAUUCACUUAUAGAAAAGCACAAUACUUGUGAUCAAAGACAAUUAACUCAGACAAAAAUGUUUACCAACUGUAAUCUAAUAAAAUGACAAAUAUUAGAAGCAAUGCACGCCAUAGUCCUUUUCUAACCAGCUCCAACAUAAAUUAACUUUUAAUUGAAUACGCAAUAUGCAAGAAGAAGAAGAGACCUGAGAUGUUGAUAAUAUUUCAGCAUCCUCUUUAUCCAGUCGAGGGUGCAGGAGUACAAAAUAGAUCUUCCAGAAGCAACUUUCACUCAUGUAUCCUGGGCAAAGCUCAAACCUCAAAGCAGAUAAUCUUGGGGCAAGAUGCUCAACAGCUAAGGCGUGUUCUUGUUGGGCAUCAGACAUGUCAAAAUCUAAUAUCAAGAAAAAAAGGAAAAAACAAAUCAACAUUCUGUCAUAUUGAAUUCCCAUUUCCUGAAUUAAUAAUAAUUUUCUUCCAUAUCGUCAUUCAAAAUACUUUUGGAGUUGACAAAAGUCUUGAGCAUUGAAGUAUGCUAACGACAGGUUCUCUCUACCAAAAGAUGCAUAACUGGCUCUUUUGAGCAAUUUGCAUUCCAUGACUAGCUAAGUAUAUGAGAGAUUCUUAGGUUAACAACAUAAUACUUCGAUAAAUAUUUAAUAACAGAUAGAAUAAAAUAACAAAAUGAAUGAAAGAGUAAGGGGGCAUAGCACUAUACCAAAGAAGUGGAACUAAACCAUGAAUCCAUGGUCUUACUACACAAUUAUACAAGUCUUUUCAUCUCCAAUAAAUCAUAGAAGUUUCUUACUAUGUCCAUUUAUUCAAAUAUAUUCCACUUUACAUUUAUUGAUUUCCUAGUACAAUGUCUAAGAAAAUCUGCCUUAAAUUCAUUAAGCAUUUAUUUGAAAGAUGAUGCCAUCAUUGAAAGAUCAUCAAUUUGCUCCGCAAUAAAAUUAAUCCAAUUAAUCAGCACACUGUCAACUAGUAGAUAAACACUCCUUAGUUACUAAUCUGCACUUCACUAACCCCCUGAAAUUUCUAUAUAUAUACAAUUAUCAUACCAUCAUCAUCACUGUCACUUUCGGGCAAUGGGAAAUCCAACCAAGUUUUGGGAUGCAUCGCAAUAUCCCUCGCGAAAGCCACCACUUCCUCAGUCACACCAACUACCUUUUUACUCGCCGAAUCAAAAUCCUCUGUAUUGCCUGUCCAAGAUAAAAUUUAAAUGAAUAUAUGUGCAUUUCUCUAACACCUUGUGCUUGUAGAUGAAAUGAUUUGCAUUGAAUACCUUCCUUACCGAUUUCAUCAUCAGAUUCCAACUGUAGGAAAUUCGAGGCCAUUUUGGUAAUUUCCGUCACGUUGAUGUUAUUCGACAGCUUCGAAAUUCCGCUCCUGAACCUUCCCCCGAUCUCAGCUAAGUCAGUACGGAUGCCCGAUUCACCAUCCGGGUCGGGCUCCUGAUUCUGUUCCGAGUUGUUCGGAUCGAGCUGUGGCGGUGGGGCUAGAAAUGAGGCUACACCCCAGAACUGGUUCUUGAGGGUUUUGGUCAGUUCCGAGAGGUCUUCUUUGACGCCGCGCGACGGCGAGGUUGGAGAUGAAACAUCGUUGUCUUGGAGGAGGUUUUCCUGUUCGGGUUUGAUGCCCUUGAUGGCGUCAUCUUCCUCAUCGUCGAAUUUGAGCGUAUUAUUGAUUGAUCGGGCAAACCAAGACAUUGUAACUUGGAUCGAGUUCGGUUUCGGAUCGCCGGCGAUCCACUGUGCGGACUGGGGACGGAUCUCCUUGAACCUGUAUGGUGAACAUCAACACUGGAAAAGCAUUAAGGGAUCAGGAGACUCGUUAAACGACACAGUUUAGAAUAUGCUGUCAAAUGUGUAUUUCUCACUUCACCCCUCUAAUUUUCAAUUGUGUCAUACAAACCCUUAUAUUAUUCUUUUGUCGCAAAUGGGUCGGGGUGAGAGAGCAGUUGGCACAUUCUAUGUAAAAGAUACUUCGGGAGAAAAUGCUGAUCCAGAAACACUUGAAAAGGUGAGACGAGAAAUCGGAAGUGCUGUUGUAGUGGUAAACAAAUCUUCGAGCUCCCCUUCGCGAGCAACAUCCAGAACAUGUAAAAGCAACAGCAGCGAAGUACAAGAAAGGUCGAGGUUUUCCCUGGGAAGCCUGUUGUGGUCGCACCUAGAGGGAAUUUUGAGCAAUUUCAGACCCAUAAAAUCCUAAAGUUGUUAUAUAUGGAAUAAGGGCUGCAUUUACCUGUAAAUACCAAUUAGCACGUGUGAAUUAGUUUCUCAUUCAUCUGUAAAUAAUAAGAGCCAGCAGCAGCCCCUACAGGAAAUGAGAGUUUAAAUAAAACAAUAAAACAAUGCAUGUGUCUAUCUGCUUUGUUUUCCCUUCAAGAAAAAGCAGUACCAGAGUCCCAAAAAUUCUCUUUUUUGGGCAAAGAUUUAUUCUUUGCAUUUGCAGAAGUUCGUGACAAAGUAUUUUGCAAAACAAUAGUCCAAGAAAACGUAAAUUCAUCACUUCAAAAUGAUUAUUCUAUCAGCAUGGGAGUGCUCGAAUUGCAUAUGGGCACACGAGGCAUUAUCGAGUUAAAAUCCGUCUGGAUAUUGCCAAAUAUUUACAACGCUUCUCUGAAUCUAUACAGCAAUUUACUGAAUAUUUCGUAGUAAGAUAAAAAUCCAGGGUUCACAUUAUGAGGUUUAUAUACAAAUAUAACAUUUGCAAAGCGUUGCUCCAAGACUCGACUCGAGAAAUAACGAUCAACUCUAUAGAUAAUAGGAAAAUAAAAUUAGUGUAUAGUGAGUAUUACACGAUAAUCACGACAUAUUAAUUUCUUCAACAUCUAA